Molecule: small nuclear RNA, 137 nt
Filed under: Cebus imitator (Panamanian white-faced capuchin)
Lineage: Eukaryota; Metazoa; Chordata; Mammalia; Primates; Cebidae
Description: U4 spliceosomal RNA (ENSCCAG00000008056.1)
Rfam family: U4 spliceosomal RNA
About the family: U4 small nuclear RNA (U4 snRNA) is a component of the major U2-dependent spliceosome. The structure of U4 snRNA from yeast and human has been reported.
Source: Rfam by way of RNAcentral
AGUUUUGCGCAGUGGCAGUAUCGUAGCCAAUGAGGUUUAUCCCAGGCACGAUUAUUGCUAAUUGAAAACUUUUCCCAAUACCGGGCCAUGAUGACUUGAAAUAUAGUUGGCAUUGGCAAUUUUUGAAAAAAAAAAAA